Molecule: ribosomal RNA, 355 nt
Filed under: uncultured bacterium
Lineage: Bacteria
Description: bacterial SSU rRNA
Rfam family: Bacterial small subunit ribosomal RNA
Source: RNAcentral
AACCUGCCCAAAGUGAGGAAUAGCCACCGAAAGGUGGUCUAAUACUUCAUAAUAUCCAUCUCGUAUGGAUUAAAGCUUUAUGCGCUUGGGGAGGGGCCUGCGUAACAUUAGCUUGUUGGUGAGGUAAAAGCUCACCAAGGCUUCGAUGUUUAACUGGUUUGAGAGGAUGACCAGUCACACUGGGACUGAGAUACGGCCCAGACUCCUACGGGAGGCAGCAGUAAGGAAUCUUCCACAAUGGGGCAACCCUGAUGGAGCAAUACCGUGUGCAGGAUGAAGCGUUUCGGCGUGUAAACUGCUUUUAUCACCGAAGAUUAUGACUGUAGGUGAAGAAUAAGGACCGGCUAACUACGUG